This 465-nucleotide ribosomal RNA is filed under the name uncultured bacterium. RNAcentral's name for it is "partial 16S ribosomal RNA". It matches the Rfam family "Bacterial small subunit ribosomal RNA", at positions 28 to 507 of the family's 1533-position model. The record is from RNAcentral.
GACGAACGCUGGCGGCGUGCUUAACACAUGCAAGUCGAACGGAAAGGCCCUGCUUGCAGGGUACUCGAGUGGCGAACGGGUGAGUAACACGUGGGUGAUCUGCCCUGCACUUCGGGAUAAGCCUGGGAAACUGGGUCUAAUACCGGAUAGGAGCCAUUUUUAGGGUGAUGGUUGGAAAGUUUUUUCGGUGUAGGAUGGGCUCGCGGCCUAUCAGCUUGUUGGUGGGGUCAUGGCCUACCAAGGCGGCGACGGGUAGCCGGCCUGGGAGGGUGGACGGCCACCUUGGGACUGAGAUACGGCCCAGACUCCUACGGGGGGCAGCAGUGGGGAAUAUUGCACAAUGGGCGCCAGCCUGAUGCAGCGACGCCGCGUGGGGGAUGACGGCCUUCGGGUUGUAAACUCCUUUCGCUAGGGACGAAGCUUUUUGUGACGGUACCUAGAUAAGAAGCACCGGCUAACUACGUG